GACCGAAGUGGAGAAAGGUUCCAUGUGAACAGCAGUUGGACAUGGGUUAGUCGAUCCUAAGAGAUAGGGAAAUUCCGUUUGCAAGCGCCCGAUCUUGGGCCGCCUAUCGAAAGGGAAUCGGGUUAAUAUUCCCGAACCGGGACGCGGAUAUUGCCGUUCGCGGCAGAUGCGGUAACGCAAACGAACCCGAAGACGCUGGCGGGGGCCCUGGGAAGAGUUCUCUUUUCUUUUUAACGAGCUUUCACCCUGAAAUCAGCUUGCCUGGAGAUAGGGUUUAAUGCUCGGUAAAGCACCACACUUCUUGUGGUGUCCGGUGCGCUCUCGACGGCCCUUGAAAAUUCGGGGAAGACAUUGAUUUUCGUGUCCGGUCGUACUCAUAACCGCAGCAGGUCUCCAAGGUGAGCAGCCUCUGGUU
This 415-nucleotide ribosomal RNA is filed under the name Nematostella vectensis (starlet sea anemone). RNAcentral's name for it is "Eukaryotic large subunit ribosomal RNA". It matches the Rfam family "Eukaryotic large subunit ribosomal RNA", at positions 1489 to 1888 of the family's 3401-position model. Lineage: Eukaryota; Metazoa; Cnidaria; Anthozoa; Actiniaria; Edwardsiidae. The record is from Rfam by way of RNAcentral.